GAGUUUAUAAUUUAACGGUAAAAUGUUACUUUGAUAAGGUAAAAAUAUUGGUUCGAUUCCAGUUAAACUCA
This 71-nucleotide transfer RNA is filed under the name Williopsis jadinii. RNAcentral's name for it is "Cyberlindnera jadinii tRNA-Ile". It matches the Rfam family "tRNA". From Rfam's summary of the family: Transfer RNA (tRNA) molecules are approximately 80 nucleotides in length. Their secondary structure includes four short double-helical elements and three loops (D, anti-codon, and T loops). Lineage: Eukaryota; Fungi; Ascomycota; Saccharomycetes; Phaffomycetales; Wickerhamomycetaceae. The record is from RNAcentral. RNAcentral also lists the same sequence under 3 other names.